Cinara cedri is the source of this 244-nucleotide non-coding RNA. The record is from the annotation of a GenBank genome assembly. NCBI's taxonomy places the organism in Eukaryota, Metazoa, Arthropoda, Insecta, Hemiptera, Aphididae.
AUAAAUACGCGAAUCGCAUCUUUGAACUUUCGUAAUUUCUUUUACUCGUAUAUAUUCCAACUUAUGCGUUUCCCUCUAUUCUAUAACGCUAUCCUUUUCAACCAGUUCCAACAGACAUUCAUGUCCACGACAGACCGAUCCACCAGUCUCGUCAUUUAAUCAAUAUUUUCCGCAGCUACCUUUAUUUCGAUAAUCAAUUUAGCACAGAAUUGUGAUGAAUAAUAUAUCUACCACGGUUAAAAUG